Molecule: ribosomal RNA, 567 nt
Filed under: Diaporthe phaseolorum
Lineage: Eukaryota; Fungi; Ascomycota; Sordariomycetes; Diaporthales; Diaporthaceae
Description: eukaryotic LSU rRNA
Rfam family: 5.8S ribosomal RNA (bases 193-346)
Source: RNAcentral
CCUGCGGAGGGAUCAUUGCUGGAACGCGCUUCGGCGCACCCAGAAACCCUUUGUGAACUUAUACCUAUCUGUUGCCUCGGCGUAGGCCGGCCUCUUCACUGAGGCCCCCUGGAAACAGGGAGCAGCCCGCCGGCGGCCAACUAAACUCUUGUUUCUAUAGUGAAUCUCUGAGUAAAAACAUAAAUGAAUCAAAACUUUCAACAACGGAUCUCUUGGUUCUGGCAUCGAUGAAGAACGCAGCGAAAUGCGAUAAGUAAUGUGAAUUGCAGAAUUCAGUGAAUCAUCGAAUCUUUGAACGCACAUUGCGCCCUCUGGUAUUCCGGAGGGCAUGCCUGUUCGAGCGUCAUUUCAACCCUCAAGCCUGGCUUGGUGAUGGGGCACUGCCUUCUAGCGAGGGCAGGCCCUGAAAUCUAGUGGCGAGCUCGCUAGGACCCCGAGCGUAGUAGUUAUAUCUCGUUCUGGAAGGCCCUGGCGGUGCCCUGCCGUUAAACCCCCAACUUCUGAAAAUUUGACCUCGGAUCAGGUAGGAAUACCCGCUGAACUUAAGCAUAUCAAUAAGCCGGAGGA